CUAUUAGACGGCUGGAUCUUAUUUACACGCGUGUAAAAACAGAUAGAGGAGGUCAAUGCCGCUUCGGUGGCUGCUUCUUUUCGGGCACGCAAGUCCGCCGUGGCUACGCGUACGUUUUCGCGUGCCUUCGCGCAGGGGAGCGGAGUUGUGCGCUCGAUGCGUGUGUGCUAGCGUGCAAACGUGGGUGCCGCGCUCGGGUGUCUUCUCUGUCUUUUCUUCGCGCGACUGUGCGUCGCGUCUUCUUGCGCGUAGACAAACGUUGUUUCUUCUUAGAGGUAUUGACGACUCUACAUAAGUCGUACGAGAGAGAGAGCAAUAACAGGUCUGUGAUGCCCUUAGAUGCCCUGGGCCGCACGCGAGCUACAAUGCCGGGUACAGCGGGUCUAACUUCCUUCGCCGAGAGGCGCGGGUAACCCUCUGAAAUCCCUUCUUUCCGACGGGGGAGACAUCGCGCAAGCGUCUGUCUCUCUUCGUUAGUCGGCUCGA
Molecule: ribosomal RNA, 486 nt
Filed under: Leucothoe nagatai
Lineage: Eukaryota; Metazoa; Arthropoda; Malacostraca; Amphipoda; Leucothoidae
Description: partial small subunit ribosomal RNA
Rfam family: Eukaryotic small subunit ribosomal RNA
Source: RNAcentral